Molecule: long non-coding RNA, 1740 nt
Filed under: Homo sapiens (human)
Lineage: Eukaryota; Metazoa; Chordata; Mammalia; Primates; Hominidae
Description: non-protein coding lnc-AZIN1-3:1
Source: RNAcentral
AUUACAGGCAUGAGCCACCAUGCCCAGCCCCUCAUUUUAACAUAUUUAAGGUUCAUGCAUAUUUGUAUUCAAUAUAAGAUUGAAUAUAAUCAAUCUUAUAUAUUAUGUAAUAUAUUACAUAAUAUAUCAAUAUAAAUCUUAUAUUUAUUAUUGGGAUCUUCCUAAUCUUAUAUAAAAUCUUAGAUAGGUUUAGGGUGAUAAACACUUGGCAAUCUGCCGGUAACAGGCAGACAAAAGUAUUUAAAAGUAAAGCGUAUUUUUAAUCUUUCAUCCUAACUGAAAUAGGUGAAGACAUUCUUAAUCUUAUAGCAAAAGAUGGAGAAGUGGCUGGGUGCAAUGGCUCACAGCUGUAAUCCCAGCACUUUGGGAGGCCAAGGUGAGCAGAUCUCUAGAGGUCAGGAGUUCAAGACCAGCCUGGCCAACAUAGCAAAACCCUGUCUCUACUAAAAAUACAAAAAUUAGCCAGGUGUGGUGGCGCACACCUGUAAUCCAAGCUACUCGGGAGGCUGAGGCAGGAGAAUCACUUGAACCCAAAAGGCAGAGGUUGGAGGCAGAGGUUGUAGUGAGCUGAGAUCACACUACUACACUCCAGCCUGGGUGACAGAGUGAAACUCCGUCUCAAAAAAAAAAAAAAAAAAAAAAAGGUGAAGUUAGGGAUAAAAUGUCAGCAUAGCAUCUUGUUGUGUGUCUCCCUUUUCAGUUUUACCCAAAAGGGGUUUCAAAAGACUCAGGCUGACAGAUUCCAGAGCAUUCCUUGUCCACCUGGAGGGACAGUCUAUCUCUUCUAGUUAAUUCCUGGAGUGCAACGCUAGCCAAUCAGGAGAGCAUUUCCUCCAUCUCUGGACUCAGACUAAUUGUUAAUCCACACACAAUUUCAAGGCCGUUAACCAACAGAAGAUUUCUUUGUACAUGCUCCUCAAAAACUGUCUCCAAGAAAUAGGAAUGUGAAAGGAGAAAGCUGUAUUAUUAGUAGAGACGGGGUUUCACCAUGUUUGCCAGGCUGGUCUUGAACUCCUGACCUCAGGUGAUCCGCCCACUUCGGCCUCUCAAAGGGCUGAGGUUACAGACAUGAGCCACUGCGGCUGGCCAUAACUUGUAAUUUUUAUAAUUAAUUAAGUACAUAUUAAGAGAUUAAUAACAUCUCUUAAAUAUAUAAGGAACUCGAACAACUCAAAUGCAUGAACACAACCUGAUUAAAAAUGAACAGAGGACCUGAAAAGAGAUUUCUCAAAAGAAGACAUACAAAUGGCCAACAGGUAUAUGAAAAAAAUACUCAACAUCACUAAUCAUCAGGGAAGUGUAAUUAAAACCAAAAUGAGGCCGGGCAUUGUGGCUCACACCUGUAAUCCCAGCACUUUGGGAGGACGAGGUGGGCAGAUCACUUAAGGUCAGGAGUUCGACACCAGCCUGGCCAACAUGGUGAAACCCUGUCUCUCCUAAAUAUACAAAAAUUAGCCAGGUGUGGUGGUGCAUGCCUGUAGUCUUUCCUAGCUACUCAGGAGGCUGAAGCAGGAGAAUCACUUGAACCCAGGAAGAGGAGGUUGCAGUGAGGCAAGAUCAUGCUGUUGUACUCCAGCCUGGACGUCACAGCAAGACUUGGUCUUAAAAAAAAAAAAAUGAGGCUGGGCACAGUGGCUCAUGCCUGUAAUCCCAGCAAUUUGGGAGGCUGAGGCAGGUGGAUCACCUGAGGUCAGGAGUUCAAGACCAGCCUUGCCAACAUGGCAAAGCCCCGUCUCUGCU